CCUACGGGCUGCAGCAGUGGGGAAUAUUGCACAAUGGGCGCAAGCCUGAUGCAGCCAUGCUGCGUGUAUGAAGAAGGCCUUCGGGUUGUAAAGUACUUUCAGCGGGGAGAAAGGCGAUAAGGUUAAUAACCUUGUCGAUUGACGUUACCCGCAGAAGAAGCACCGGCUAACUCCGUGCCAGCAGCCGCGGUAAUACGGAGGGUGCAAGCGUUAAUCGGAAUUACUGGGCGUAAAGCGCACGCAGGCGGUCUGUCAAGUCGGAUCUGAAAUCCCCGGGCUCAACCUGGGAACAGCAUUCGAAACUGGCAGGCUAGAGUCUUGUAGAGGGGGGUAGAAUUCCAGGUGUAGCGGUGAAAUGCGUAGAGAUCUGGAGGAAUACCGGUGGCGAAGGCGGCCCCCUGGACAAAGACUGACGCUCAGGUGCGAUAGCGUGGGGAGCAAACAGGAUUAGAUACCCCAGUAG
This 463-nucleotide ribosomal RNA is filed under the name uncultured bacterium. Its description in RNAcentral is "bacterial SSU rRNA". It matches the Rfam family "Bacterial small subunit ribosomal RNA", at positions 338 to 793 of the family's 1533-position model. The record is from RNAcentral.